CUAGUGCCAAUGAGCCAUGAAGCAUAUCUUUCUGAUUGAAUGAAAGAUGCACAGUGGUUUAGCUACGAGUUAUAGCUGACAUAUCCCCUUUUGACAUGCUAGAUUUACAAGGUUGCUAAUGUUGGCAAACAUAAUUGUGGCUACUUAUGGCUAUACUUACUUAUUAUAGUCUGAUGGAUUUUAUUCCAUCAGACUAUAAUAAAACUUCUGAGGUUGACAAGUACUUUCUAAAUGCGUAAGAAAAGCAAUAUUAGGAUGUCUCUCCUAAGGCUAUUUUUUACCAGCCCAACUGGAAUAUCACUUUUCAAGAGUCGUUUCCUUGAAAGCAGUUGCAAAUAAGCAACAUCUGCACAUCACAUGACUGCAGUUCCCUGACCAAGCUGGGCGAAUUGGGCGGGAGGGGGUUUAGGCACACCAUCUGAGUCACACUGUUUCCUCUAAUACACCGGAAAAAGGGGUCAGUGAGUAACGCUGGUCUCAUCGAGUGGUUGAACAAUGUAAACGAUGUGAGGAAUCUGACAGACGCAAACCCUUUCAGGACUAUUAUCUUAGCUCAGCCUGAGCUAUUGAGUUCAGCUUCUAAUGGAUGACAACAUCACUAUGGAAACAAGUAAAACAAACAGUGUGUGGGUUUUGCAUGUAGAUGAAACAGUAGACCAACAAUUGCCAUUCACAGUUGGGUUGAUCAAAAUAGCAGCUUCCUUAAGAACAGACAGCAGUCUUUUCAAAAGUUUACAGAUCUAACAUUAAGCAGAGGUCCCUGCUCUUCCCAUUGACGCAGUUGCUGUCACCAAUUUUCCGGGCGUCCAAGGCAAUUGAAUGGUGGCCAUCCUGUAGCUGCAGCUGGGUGCUUCCUGUGCUGAUAUAGGAGCUGGGACGAUAGCCCUGUAUGGAGUGCUCUCCAUUGGCUGGGAUGGUUAGGUAAUGGCCAGUUCUCACUGACUCCCAAUCUUAUCUGGCCAGUGUUUGGAAUGAGUCUGCUGGGACACAGCAGAAUGUGUGAAACGGAAUUGGAAACCCCAUGUUCUUCCCAACAGAAAUGAAAAAUCACAAAUGAUAUCUCUUUAAUAUCUUAAUUGUUUGCCCAGACUGUAAUGAAAAUCAGCAGAGGGCAAAUUUAGAUGUUUGCUAACUUUUGCAUCUGUAUUUUUAUGCUCUACUGUUAGUGUUAUCUGUACGCACCAAGGGUCUGAGAGUAACACAAUUUUAAUUCUCUGUAUGUAUGUGCUGUACAUGUGGAAGAAAUGACAAUAAAGCAGACUUUGACUUUGACUUAAACA
Cyprinus carpio (common carp) is the source of this 1280-nucleotide long non-coding RNA. The record is from Ensembl. NCBI's taxonomy places the organism in Eukaryota, Metazoa, Chordata, Actinopteri, Cypriniformes, Cyprinidae.